UGAAAAGCGGCAGCUGAUCGGCAGCUGGUGUUUAACGGAUCGAUAUAUCGCCAUUUUCUCGGCGCACUGCGCGGGUGUGAGUGCCGGAGACCUGGACAAUCCCCAGCUCGCGGCCUCAGUCGUACGAGCAGAGACGUCACGUGAUUACGCGCGGGCACAGGAUCGGAGACAGACCUAGGAACGACGUAAAACACACCACAGGAACAAUAGUACUUAAUAAAGUUAAGAACAAAGGAGAUAGGCUGAUAGUGUAGGGUUAUUCAGCAGUGCCACGGCUACAACUAUCGGAGACGGACAACAGGAAGGUGAUUGGGUACACGACACCAAAGAUGGUUGCGCGCAACAAAAAGGGACGAUGCUGGCCUGUCAUCUUGACGUUCUUCAUCACAGUUAUGCGAGCCACACAAGGAACAGACAGCCCUGGAUGUGAAAACGGCCUGACGCUUCCGGACGGGGUCUGUGACUGUUACACCUGUUGGGAGGGCGAGACGUGUGCUC
Long non-coding RNA from Aplysia californica (California sea hare), 498 nucleotides. RefSeq lists it as uncharacterized. Lineage: Eukaryota; Metazoa; Mollusca; Gastropoda; Aplysiida; Aplysiidae. The record is from RefSeq and is a predicted model, not a curated record. The transcript has 4 exons.